CAGCCGCCACGGUAAUACAGAGGGUGCAAGCGUUAAUCGGAAUUACUGGGCGUAAAGCGCGCGUAGGUGGUUCGCCAAGUUGGAUGUGAAAUCCCCGGGCUCAACCUGGGAACUGCAUCCAAAACUGGCGAGCUAGAGUAUGGUAGAGGGUGGUGGAAUUUCCUGUGUAGCGGUGAAAUGCGUAGAUAUAGGAAGGAACAUCAGUGGCGAAGGCGACCACCUGGACUGAUACUGACACUGAGGUGCGAAAGCGUGGGGAGCAAACAGGAUUAGAUACCCGUGUAGUCCCUGUCUCUUAUAC
Molecule: ribosomal RNA, 301 nt
Filed under: uncultured bacterium
Lineage: Bacteria
Description: partial 16S ribosomal RNA
Rfam family: Bacterial small subunit ribosomal RNA
Source: RNAcentral